This 497-nucleotide ribosomal RNA is filed under the name uncultured bacterium. Its description in RNAcentral is "partial 16S ribosomal RNA". It matches the Rfam family "Bacterial small subunit ribosomal RNA", at positions 28 to 507 of the family's 1533-position model. The record is from RNAcentral.
GACGAACGCUGGCGGCGUGCCUAAUACAUGCAAGUAGAACGCUGAAGAGAGGAGCUUGCUCUUCUUGGAUGAGUUGCGAACGGGUGAGUAACGCGUAGGUAACCUGCCUUGUAGCGGGGGAUAACUAUUGGAAACGAUAGCUAAUACCGCAUAACAAUGGAUGACACAUGUCAUUUAUUUGAAAGGGGCAAUUGCUCCACUACAAGAUGGACCUGCGUUGUAUUAGCUAGUAGGUGAGGUAAUGGCUCACCUAGGCGACGAUACAUAGCCGACCUGAGAGGGUGAUCGGCCACACUGGGACUGAGACACGGCCCAGACUCCUACGGGAGGCAGCAGUAGGGAAUCUUCGGCGAUGGGGGCAACCCUGACCGAGCAACGCCGCGUGAGUGAAGAAGGUUUUCGGAUCGUAAAGCUCUGUUGUAAGUCAAGAACGGGUGUGAGAGUGGAAAGUUCACACUGUGACGGUAGCUUACCAGAAAGGGACGGCUAACUACGUG